UAAUACGGAGGGUGCGAGCGUUGUCCGGAAUCAUUGGGCGUAAAGGGCGCGUAGGUGGCCCGGUCAGUCUUUGGUGAAAGCGCGGGGCUCAACCCUGCGUCGGCCAGGGAUACUGCCGCGGCUCGAGCACUGUAGAGGCAGGCGGAAUUCCGGGUGUAGCGGUGGAAUGCGUAGAGAUCCGGAAGAACACCGGUGGCGAAGGCGGCCUGCUGGGCAGUUUAGCUGACACUGAGGCGCGACAGCGUGGGGAGCAAACAGGAUUAGAUACCCUGGUAGUCCACGCCGUAAACGAUGGGCACUAGGCGCUUGGGGGAGCGACCCCCCGAGGGCCGGCGCUAACGCAUUAAGUGCCCCGCCUGGGGAGUACGGCCGCAAGGCUG
This 380-nucleotide ribosomal RNA is filed under the name uncultured bacterium. Its description in RNAcentral is "bacterial SSU rRNA". It matches the Rfam family "Bacterial small subunit ribosomal RNA", at positions 521 to 896 of the family's 1533-position model. The record is from RNAcentral.